Long non-coding RNA from Homo sapiens (human), 932 nucleotides. Lineage: Eukaryota; Metazoa; Chordata; Mammalia; Primates; Hominidae. The record is from Ensembl.
GCCACCCCCACCCUAAUCUUUUAUUUUGCAGAUGGGUUCUCUACCUGGCCAGUGCCAUGUUGCCUGUUUCUUUACUGUAACUGUGGUGACAAAGAAAAGGGAAGAUGGAGCCUCCAUGUUGAACAUACCUGGCCCCCAGCACUAACUCCCUCUCUGGAUAUCUGGAACAAGGAGGACCUUAAACUUAACAAUAAAGCCAAUGAUGGUUCUACCAGUCUCCCCAAAGCCUCAAGUUUAAAAGCCAUAUGAACUGGCUGAUAGUGGAAAAUGGAAGCCAUGAGGAAAUCAGAUUAGAGUACUACCUGGUGAAGCCUGGAGGACCUACCAAGAAAAGCAAACUUGGAUCUUUGCAAGGUUAGAAGAACGAAUGGGAUCCAAGAAAAAGACUGGUCAUAUUCAACGGCUAAGAGCGUUGGAGAAGGCCUGUGGAGUCUCAGCAGGUCAGGUCCAUGACUCAUGAGUAGACACCUGUGUUUCUACUGCCUGGUGCCAUAAUCAUAAACAAGAGUAAUCAGCAAAUGCCUUUCCUUUCUCCUGCUGAUGUUUUGCCCGUACUCAGACCCCUUGACUUCUUAGCUUCUACCCAAAGUGAGCUUGUCAUCAAAGUUCUCCAAAAAUCUGCAGUGUUCUCUUGAGCAAAUCUGGUGAGUAUAAUUUCCUCAUCUCAUAAACUUAGGAUCAAAUGACCAUCUCACAAAAUCCCAGGACAAGAAAAGCCUGGGAAACUAGAUCAAGCUUAGACAGCCAGACUUCUCCCUCCGAUUUUCAAGCCUCCUGAUCCCUCCGGUCCCCUUCUCUUUAUGUGCCUGCUCCAUUCUGCUUUCCUUGAAGCUGAGCUUUCUGAGGCUACUUAUACAUGUUGUGAUAAUAGCCAUCCCAAUUCAGCUCAUGUGCCUACCAUCAAAUCCAUCAAAUGAUUGCAGUCAUUGUGC